AACGAACGCUGGCGGCAUGCCUAACACAUGCAAGUCGAACGAGACCUUCGGGUCUAGUGGCGCACGGGUGCGUAACGCGUGGGAACCUGCCCUUAGGUUCGGAAUAACUCCCCGAAAGGGGUGCUAAUACCGGAUAAUGUCUUCGGACCAAAGAUUUAUCGCCUUUGGAUGGGCCCGCGUUGGAUUAGCUAGUUGGUAGGGUAAAAGCCUACCAAGGCGACGAUCCAUAGCUGGUCUGAGAGGAGGAUCAGCCACACUGGGACUGAGACACGGCCCAGACUCGUACGGGAGGCAGCAGUGGGGAAUAUUGGACAAUGGGCGAAAGCCUGAUCCAGCAAUGCCGCGUGAGUGAUGAAGGCCUUAGGGUUGUAAAGCUCUUUUACCCGGGAUGAUAAUGACAGUACCGGGAGAAUAAGCUCCGGCUAACUACGUG
RNAcentral lists this ribosomal RNA (433 nucleotides) under uncultured bacterium. RNAcentral describes it as "partial 16S ribosomal RNA". It matches the Rfam family "Bacterial small subunit ribosomal RNA", at positions 29 to 507 of the family's 1533-position model. The record is from RNAcentral.